RNAcentral lists this ribosomal RNA (161 nucleotides) under Terminalia mantaly. Its description in RNAcentral is "5.8S ribosomal RNA". It matches the Rfam family "5.8S ribosomal RNA". Rfam says of the family: 5.8S ribosomal RNA (5.8S rRNA) is a component of the large subunit of the eukaryotic ribosome. The record is from RNAcentral. RNAcentral also lists the same sequence under 1 other name. Lineage: Eukaryota; Viridiplantae; Streptophyta; Magnoliopsida; Myrtales; Combretaceae.
AAAGUCUAAACGACUCUCGGCAACGGAUAUCUCGGCUCUCGCAUCGAUGAAGAACGUAGCGAAAUGCGAUACUUGGUGUGAAUUGCAGAAUCCCGUGAACCAUCGAGUCUUUGAACGCAAGUUGCGCCCGAAGCCUCGGCUGAGGGCACGUCUGCCUGGGU